Molecule: transfer RNA, 72 nt
Filed under: Minisyncoccota bacterium
Lineage: Bacteria; Bacillati; Minisyncoccota
Description: tRNA-Gly
Rfam family: tRNA
About the family: Transfer RNA (tRNA) molecules are approximately 80 nucleotides in length. Their secondary structure includes four short double-helical elements and three loops (D, anti-codon, and T loops).
Source: RNAcentral
GCGGGGUUAGCUCAGUGGUAGAGCCGCACAGUGCCACUGUGCAGGUCUCAGGUUCGAAUCCUGUACCCCGCU